Long non-coding RNA from Ornithodoros turicata, 3805 nucleotides. RefSeq lists it as uncharacterized. Lineage: Eukaryota; Metazoa; Arthropoda; Arachnida; Ixodida; Argasidae. The transcript is spliced from 4 exons. The record is from RefSeq and is a predicted model, not a curated record.
UAGUGUUUAGCAGCUUACGUUUGCUGUUCAUUUAGUAUAAUGGUUUAGAUUUUUAGUAGCUGUUUAAAAUGCUAUAUUUUAGUAGUACUUCGGUAUUUAGUUAAUUCUUACUAGUUGAAUGACUAACGUUUACCACUUAUAUCGUAUAGUAAUCGUUUAGCAGUUUUGUAGUAGUUUGGAAUGUGCAUUCUUGUAGCACUUUAGUAUACAGUUAGUUCUUAGUAGUAGGGUGACUAACUUUCAGCAUUUAGUUAGUAUACUCGUUUAGUGUUUAGUAGCAGUUUAGAAAGUAUAUGUUAGUAGCACUUUAGUGUGUAGAUAGUUCUUAGUAGUAGUCAGUAAGGUUUAGCGUUCAGGUAGUAUAAUCGUUUAGUGUUUUGGUAGCAGUUUAUAAUGUAUAUUUUAGUAGCACUUCAGUAUUGAGUUACUUCGUAGUAGUAGAGUGACUAGUGUUUAGAAUUAGAUAGCAUAAUCGCCUAGUGUUUUAGUAGCAGUUUAGAACGUAUAUUUUAGUAAUGCCUUAGUAUUGAGUUAGUUCGUAGUAGUAGAGUGACUAGAGUUGAGAAUUUAGAUAGUAUAAUCGCCUCGUGGUGGAGUGGCAAUUUAGAAUGUAUAUUUUAGUAGUACUUCAGUAUGUAGUUAAUUCUUACUAGCAGAGUGACUAACGUUUACGACUUAUAUCGUAUAGUAAUCGUUUAGCAGUUUUGUAGUAGUUUGGAAUGUGCAUUCUUGUAGCACUUUAGUAUACAGUUAGUUCUUAGUAGUAGGGGGACUAACUUUCAGCAUUUAAUUAGUAUGCUCGGUUAGUGUUUAGUAGCAGAUUAGAAAGUAUAUGUUAGUAGCACUUUAGUGUGUAGAUAGUUCGUGUGUAGCGAAGCAAUUCUGCUGUGGGGGCGGGGUCAAGUGUAUCAGUUAUGUCUUCACUGACUAUAGGAAAAUCUUGGGGCUUCGUCGUAGCGUUGAGGGGUCGUAAACUCGUCGUCAUUCGCGUAUAUAUCAAUUUUUGUGUCCUCCGGAUCAAUGAGAACCAGGCAGCCAAGCAAUAUGGAAUUGGAUGCAGCAAGACUAACUUCCUUUGAGUGCUUACCGUCGCUUGGAAUUGUGGUAGUUUACUAAUACAAAAGAAACAAACGGCCUCCAAACUGUUCCCAUUUCUUCCCUACCGGUCCACAGUCCACGACGUGUCAAGGUCAGCGAAAGCGAAAUGUGAAGGAUUAUUGUUCGUUCCCCCGCUGAGCAAGCGCCCAAGAUGCAACGCGUGUGCAAGACCACUGGGAUUUACCGAACCCCUCCACUGGGUGCCGGAAGACUAGCUUCCUUUGUGUACACACGGGGAGCUAAUAUUCAGGUGGAUUAGUCAGAGGCGCUAGAAUAUUUCCAAGCCUAGAGGAACGCCACCACGUGUCGUAGCAAUGAAUUAAAAACAACAAUGAACGAAGAAGUUCGACUAUCUUCGUUUAUGGUGCACUGGUAUGUUCUCGGCGCCACAGCAGUUCGAAGAAGAAGAAUGUUCUAGUUCACCAUAAACGAUGACAUCGGGGUAGGUAGGGAACCAAUCACAAGCUGUCAGAUCGUCAAUCAGGACUCGCUUUCUGCAAGGAGCCACUCCGCCUGUGAAAGCUAUCCACGACGUGUCAAGGUCAGCGAAAGCGAAAUGUGAAGGAUUAUUGUUCGUUCCCCCGCUGAGCAAGCGCCCAAGAUGCAACGCGUGUGCAAGACCACUGGGAUUUACCGAACCCCUCCACUGGGUGCCGGAAGACUAGCUUCCUUUGUGUACACACGGGGAGCUAAUAUUCAGGUGGAUUAGUCACAGGCGCUAGAAUAUUUCCAAGCCUAGAGGAACGCCACCACGUGUCGUAGCAAUGAAUUAAAAACAACAAUGAACGAAGAAGUUCGACUAUCUUCGUUUAUGGUGCACUGGUAUGUUCUCGGCGCCACAGCAGUUCGAAGAAGAAGAAUGUUCUAGUUCACCAUAAACGAUGACAUCGGGGUAGGUAGGGAACCAAUCACAAGCUGUCAGAUCGUCAAUCAGGACUCGCUUUCUGCAAGGAGCCACUCCGCCUGUGAAAGCUAUCCACGACGUGUCAAGUUCAGCGAAAGCGAAAUGUGAAGCAUGAUUCUUCGUUCCCCCGCUUAGCAAGCGCCCAAGAUGCAACACGUGUGCAAAGACCACUGGGAUUUACUGAACUCCUCCACUGGGUGCCGGAAGACUAGCUUCCUUUGUGUACACACGGGGAGCUAAUAUUCAGGUGGAUUAGUCACAGGCGCUAGAAUAUUUCCAAGCCUAGAGGAACGCCACCACGUGUCGUAGCAACGAAUUAAAAACAAUAAUGAACGAAGAAGUUCGACUAUCUUCGUUUAUGGUGCACUGGCAUGUUCUCGGUGCCACAACAGUUCGAAGAAGAAGAAUGUUCUAGUUCACCAUAAACGAUGACAUCGGGGUAGGUAGGGAACCAAUCACAAGCUGUCAGAUCGUCAAUCAGGACUCGCUUUCUGCAAGGAGCCACUCCGCCUGUGAAAGCUAUCCACGACGUGUCAAGUUCAGCGAAAGCGAAAUGUGAAGCAUGAUUCUUCGUUCCCCCGCUUAGCAAGCGCCCAAGAUGCAACACGUGUGCAAAGACCACUGGGAUUUACUGAACUCCUCCACUGGGUGCCGGAAGACUAGCUUCCUUUGUGUACACACGGGGAGCUAAUAUUCAGGUGGAUUAGUCACAGGCGCUAGAAUAUUUCCAAGCCUAGAGGAACGCCACCACGUGUCGUAGCAAUGAAUUAAAAACAACAAUGAACGAAGAAGUUCGACUAUCUUCGUUUAUGGUGCACUGGUAUGUUCUCGGCGCCACAGCAGUUCGAAGAAGAAGAAUGUUCUAGUUAACCAUAAACGAUGACAUCGGGGUAGGUAGGGAACCAAUCACAAGCUGUCAGAUCGUCAAUCAGGACUCGCUUUCUGCAAGGAGCCACUCCGCCUGUGAAAGCUAGUAAGUCCGUUCUUUUUCGAUAUGGUAGAGCUCGUGGACGUAGUGGAUAGGGCAGUACGGGUCUUUAGUGUACUUGUCGCCGCGGUGCUCGUCACUGCUGCCAUAAAAGAGGAGGACAUCUUCUUUAGGGUGGCGUGGUCCAUACUCGCACUGGCUUUAUUGGUGGCCGCGCGCCCCGAUAAGCUGUGCAAGUCAUGCUGCGGGCAUAUCUUCUCCUCGGAGGAGGAUAUGAUCCCGCAGCUGACUGUGGACCACAUGCCAUCCGUAUGGCAGUGCGUGGAGCCAAGCACCACGGUGACAAUGAGUGACUAACGUUUAGCAUUCUUGGCUACUGUUGUAUAGCAGUUUGGAAUGUAAUAUUUUAGCAGUACGUUACCUAGUUUUUAAUAGUACUGUGACUAACUUUCAGCAUUUAGUUAGCCUAAUCGAUUAAUGUUUUGGUAGCAGUUUAGAACGUAUAUGUUAGUAAUGCCUUAGUAUUGAGUUAGUUCGUAGUAGUAGUGUGACUAGUGUUUAUAAUAUAGAUAGUAUAAUCGCCUAGUGUUUUAGUAGCAGUUAAGAACGUAUAUUUUAUUAAUGCUUUAGUAUUGAAUUAGUUCGUAGUAGUAGAGUGACUAGGGUUUAGAAGUUAGAUAGUAUAAUCGCUUAGUGUUGUAGUAGCAGUUUAGAGUGUAUAUUUUAGUAAUGCUGUAGUAUUGAAUUAGUUCGUAGUAGUAGAGUGACUAGUGUUUAGAAUUUAGAUAGUAUAAUCGCUUAGUGUUGUAGUAGCAGUUUAGAGUGUAUAUUUUAGUAGUAAUUCGGUAUUUAGUUAGUUCGUAGUAGAGUACCUA